AGGGACUACAAGCAUUAGCUUAAAACCCAAAGGACUUGGCGGUGCUUUAGACCCACCUAGAGGAGCCUGUUCUAGAACCGAUAACCCCCGUUAAACCUCACCCUUUUUUGUUAACACCGCCUAUAUACCGCCGUCGUCAGCUUACCCCGUGAGGCUAAAAAGUAAACGAAAUUGGCACUGCCUAAAACGCCAGGUCGAGGUGUAGCGCAUAAAAGGGGAAGAAAUGGGCUACAUUUCCUAUAUAGGAAACUACGGACCGCAUAAUGAAAUAAAUGCAUGAAGGAGGAUUUAGCAGUAAGUAGAAAGCAGAGUGUUCCACUGAAGCCGGCCCUGAAGCGCGCACACACCGCCCGUCACUCUCCCCAAGCCCUCUUAAUAAUGUUAAUAACCACUAAAAAUAGCAAAGGGGAGGCAAGUCGUAACAUGGUAAGUGUACCGGAAGGUGCACUUGGAAAAAC
This 458-nucleotide ribosomal RNA is filed under the name Aplocheilus panchax (blue panchax). Its description in RNAcentral is "partial 12S ribosomal RNA". It matches the Rfam family "Bacterial small subunit ribosomal RNA", at positions 874 to 1527 of the family's 1533-position model. Lineage: Eukaryota; Metazoa; Chordata; Actinopteri; Cyprinodontiformes; Aplocheilidae. The record is from RNAcentral.